This is a long non-coding RNA of Pseudopipra pipra, 945 nucleotides long. RefSeq lists it as uncharacterized. The transcript is spliced from 2 exons. The record is from RefSeq and is a predicted model, not a curated record. Lineage: Eukaryota; Metazoa; Chordata; Aves; Passeriformes; Pipridae.
CGACCCCUGCGAAGGAGAAAAGCGGUGCAAGAGAACAGAAUUAGGCAUUAAACUACCCACCUCGGGGUGCUUGUGGUGAUGAUGAUGGGGGACGGGGGUGGGGAGGGGGCGCGUGUGAAAAGCGGAAUUUUGGGCCAAAAAUGAGGCAAAAGAUACAAUAUUUUAGGGGUAACGGCAGAGCGGGCGGGGAGGGGGGGGAAGGAGCGAUGGCGCCUGAGGCGGGGGAAACUGGAGGGGGGAGCUGAAGCGUGAGGGGGAGACAGAGGGCUCCGCCAUGGACGAGUGAAAAUGCGCAUUUCUGGGCAUUUUCACAUCCUUUUGCAAAGGCGGCGAGGAGAAAAGGGGAGGAGGGAGGGGGGGAAAGAAGAAGGUCAGGUUUCACCCGCAGCGCUUUCGCUGCCUGCCCGGAGGGAAUUCGCGCAAGAUCAGAGCCCCUCCGCCGUGCUCCUGGCACGGCCUCAGCCCGCGCCCGCCACCCCGGCCCCGCAGCCGCCCCUCGCCCAUCCUUCCCCUCGCUGCCCGCUCGCCGCCAUUUUGUCGCCUCACACCGCGGGCCCGCCGGGCGGCCAUUUUGUGAAGCGAGGCGGGGGGGGGCAGCGCCUGAGGCGGCCGUGAGGGGCAGCCCCGGCCGCCGCUUCCUUUUGUCAGCCAAAAACCUCCUUUUAGCAUUUGUUUCUCUUUUUCUUCACAAAACGUGUCGCCCUUAAUACGCCAUCAGGAGCCUGAUCACUUCAGCAAGAUCCGUCCUCGGACGAAGCAAUCCAAUAAAUGAGAUUAAAGCAUAUUCCCCAGGCUGGGCUUGAUGAGCCCCCAAGGUCAAUAAGCCGCCUUGACAAACAGGAUAACCUCUGCGAGAAAUAUCUGGGAUUUUUAAUAAAACACCUCACAGGCUCUACUGGACAGUCCAGCAAAAUAAAGAUGUAACUUAAACUGCUCAAAGCCAAA